GACGAACGCUGGCGGCGUGCUUAACACAUGCAAGUCGAACGGAAAGGCCUGCUUUCCCUUGUGGAUUGCGGGUACUCGAGUGGCGAACGGGUGAGUAACACGUGAGUGAUCUGCCCCCAACUUGGGUAUAAGCCUGGGACACUGGGUCUAAUUCCCGAUAGGACUGCAGGGUGGUGCCUGUGGUGGAAAACGAUUUUCUAGUGGUUGGGGAUGAGCUCGCGGCCUAUCAGCUUGUUGGUGGGGUAAUGGCCUACCAAGGCGGCGACGGGUAGCCGGCCUGAGAGGGUGGACGGCCACAUUGGGACUGAGAUACGGCCCAGACUCCUACGGGAGGCAGCAGUGGGGAAUAUUGCACAAUGGGCGGAAGCCUGAAGCAGCGACGCCGCGUGGGGGAUGACGGCCUUCGGGUGGUAAACUCCUUUCGACCGCGAGGAAGCCACCUGGUUGGAAGGGUGGUGACGGUAGUGGUAGAAGAAGCACCGGCUAACUACGUG
Molecule: ribosomal RNA, 494 nt
Filed under: uncultured bacterium
Lineage: Bacteria
Description: partial 16S ribosomal RNA
Rfam family: Bacterial small subunit ribosomal RNA
Source: RNAcentral